GUUUUUGUUUUUUUUUUUUUUUUUGUUUUUUUUUGCCUUUUGAAUGGGAACAUCCACCGGUGACAGGAUUAUGUAAGCUAAUAGCUAAUGUGUCAAAGGAAAGGAGAGAAAAGAAACAGCCAUGGCAACCGGGGCAAUAGGACGGCAAUAGGACCCAGGCUUUGGCCUUCAGAAGAAAACUGUAUCCACCUAGCAAAACUAGGACAAAGAGUAACUUGGAGAAAACCAGAGGGGAUGGUGAACAGAAAAGUCAACAAUGGGAAAUGGCAGACUGUGGCCUAGGCAUCCUCCGGCUGUCAGAUCUCGGCUUAUUUUAUGAGACAUAAUCUGCCAUCUUCAGGAGUGUAAACCUGGGCUGUCAUUGUCCUCUUCCUCAAGUCUCUGGGUUCUUCCCUUCAUGCUCGCCGGUGCUUUGGUGGGAAGAUUGUGUUUUUCUUUGAAUAUCACCUUUUCUAAGGAUAGAGGCAGGUGGCACUAUGAUCAGAGAACCUUUAUCCUCCUCUGCAUUCCUCCCCGAUGCUCGAUGCUCAGCUCUUCCCAGAGAAAUGGCCCUCAACCCAAUGCAGGGUCAAUCGCUAGCCUCAGGAACAAUCACCCCAAGAUUCUCAAGGUAAGUGAGACAGCCUGAGAAAGACCACCUCCUCCCAUAAAAUGCGAAAAAGCUCACAACUUGUUCAUUGGUUCAUUUGAUUUAAUGCCAAAAGGUUGGAACAGUAUUACAGUUCCCUUAAGUGUUCCUUUGAGAUUUAGACAAAAGAAACAACAAAUGUUUGCUGCUUUGGUUUAGAUUUUUUAAGUUUAGACUUCAGUACUCUAGCACAGUCUUAAGGUAUUUGGUAAUUCUACAAGUUUAAUUUUUAAAUGUUAGAGUUAACUUUUAUGUCACGUUUCUCAAAAACUAUAUGAAUUUACAAGGUACUCCUCUCCCUAUAUUCCUUUAAAUAAUACCCAAAACACAACUCUCAUAUACCCUUCUAAGUUUUACUGCCUUGACUACAGGGAUUUUAUGUCUCUUAUUUGGCAUUGCUGUUUAUUGUCACUUCCCCCAUAAUUCUGGUUUUUGCUGGCCUGUUUUUUUAUUUUAUCCUUUUGAAAGUCUUUCUUCACCAUGCUAAGUCAAACUUUGAAACUUGAUAAACGCCACAAAAUUUUUCUUAACAUGGAACAAGAUCGCCACCCAGUGGCCAUGCUGAGCUUCACUCUAUGCAUUUUUCCAGAUUUUUCCCCUCACAUUUUUAUUUAUCUGGACGGCAGAACAGAGGCGUCCUUAAAGAAUAGCCCAGCCCCUUCGUUUUUCUGAGGAGAAAAUUAAAGGUCAGAAAGGUUAAUAUCUGGUCAAGUCCACAAUACCACAAUAAGACCCCUGCCUUAGGACAGGCUUCAGUCCUCAUGUUUUCAACGACUACCUCAGAACUGGAGGUGACCUUCAGGAUCAGCCAAUCCAAGCCCUCUAUCGUACAGAUGAGGAAACUGAGGCACAGAGAAGAAAAAUGGCUUCUCAGGGUUUAUGGAGCUGACUAAACGGGACAAAACCCAGCUUUAUUAACACUUAGCCUGAUGUUCAUUCUCCUACUUAGACCAAUCUCAUUUUAAAUAUUUUAUUUUCCCCUUUGGAUUAUCAUAAUUCCAG
Macaca fascicularis (crab-eating macaque) is the source of this 1630-nucleotide long non-coding RNA. NCBI's taxonomy places the organism in Eukaryota, Metazoa, Chordata, Mammalia, Primates, Cercopithecidae. The record is from Ensembl.